Molecule: long non-coding RNA, 1575 nt
Organism: Musca domestica (house fly)
Lineage: Eukaryota; Metazoa; Arthropoda; Insecta; Diptera; Muscidae
Exons: 2
Source: RefSeq, a predicted model, not a curated record
GAUUUUAAAUAAAAAUUAACGAUGUGACAUACUGUAACAUAUUACUUUGCACACUGUAAAAAUUGCAUAUUUUUCGAUUUUCUGUCAAGAUUUCACAAUUUAUGGCAUAAAAUUGUCUGGUGUUUUGUUGUAUUUAUAUGAAAGUUCUCUAAAUACGUCGGACGUACGAAAUUUGAAUAGUUGAACAAUUUCAACAUUGACAAUUGAAAAAUUUUAUUUUUUUUGUGUUAAAAGUAAAAACAGAUUUAAAGAUAAGCACCCGGCAUAUUCGGGUAAUACGGACGUACAAAAAAUUUUACCACAGUGGGGAAGUUGAAUAUUUGUGUACGGUACGUCGAAUUUUAGAUGCGGGAAAAAAUAUAAAUUUAUAUAAAUUAGGCACUAAAUUACAAUACAAUAAAUAAGUAAAAACAUUAAGUUCGGCCGGGCCGAACUGCUAAUACCCUCCACCAUUGGGUAAAGAAAAUAUUUUUGUAUAAAAGUAUCUAGAUUCAAACGUAUUCCACUUUAAAAUACAAAUACCAGUAAGACCGUUUGGUUAAUGCAGUUAAACUUUUCAAAAGCCAUAAAGUGAGUGAAGACGUCAGACAAUUUUAUACUACAAGGAUUGUUAUAUAUUGCAAGUCAUAAAAACCAAAUUUGAAACAAUUUCGUGGGUAAAUGAGAAAUGUGGCUACCGUUAUAUUUGCGAACCUAGACAUUUUAUGUUCUUCCACCGCAUCUGAAACUCAUUACGAACUACAAAUAUUUUUUAGAAAAAUCCGUGGAAAAUGUGGAAAAAAUCAUCAAAAUACUGGAUAUCAGGAGGAUGGCGGCUAUACCAAAAUAUAUUUCAUUUUCAAUACCAACCAUGCUAGACAAAAUACAAACUAUUGUGCCAAAUAUUAAAGCUCUGUGUCAAAUAACGUGGGCUGUGUCGUGAUUUCAACAGACAGACAGACAAAAUGACAAAGUUAAUAUGCCCUCCAUUUCAAAGUGCAGGGUAUAAUAAAAACUAUGCAAUUUUCGAGUGUUAUAAAAUACUUUACACAAUGUGAUUUGUCCAUUUGUUUUUCCAGAAAAUCGUCGAUGAACGGUACUUUAUCGUUAGUUAAGCUUUGUAUUGCUCUCUUUUACAGUUUUACAAGAACUUUUAUCGCAAAUUUUCGUUGUAUCGAUAAAAAUAAAGUGCUUUACGAAACGGGGUUCAAUAGUUUACUUUGGAGGAUUUUUCUAAACAAAAUGCAGCAUCCUAGGAAAUAACAAGUAAAAAAGCAGUAAGUUCGGCCGGGCUUUGAGGGCUAUACGAUAUGUAGCUACAAUAACCAGAAUAUCGGGGGUACCGUUAUAUGGGGAAUAUACGAUAUCGUGGACUUAUAUGGAUAUUUCUAUUUCAGGGGAAAGUACUUAGAAUGAACUUCUUGUGAGGAUUUUCAGACAAUUCCAUUGAAAAAUGUGCACAAAAUCAUCAAAAUACCUAAUAUUCGAGAGUUCCGUCAUAUGGGGGCUAUACGAAGACGUGGACCUGCGUCCGAAAUUUUUAAGCAUAAGCUGUAGUACACAUUACAAUCUUCGAAUACAUAAUUUGAAAUGAUA